GUCCACGCCAUAAACGAUGUCAACUGGUUGUUGGACGGCUUGCUGUUCAGUAACGAAGCUAACGCGUGAAGUUGACCGCCUGGGGAGUACGGCCGCAAGGUUGAAACUCAAAGGAAUUGACGGGGACCCCGCACAAGCGGUGGAUGAUGUGGUUUAAUUCGAUGCAACGCGAAAACCUUACCUACCAUUGACAUGUCUGGAAUCCUGAAGAGAUUUAGGAGUGCUCGAAAGAGAACCAGAACACAGGUGCUGCAUGGCCGUCGU
This 264-nucleotide ribosomal RNA is filed under the name uncultured bacterium. Its description in RNAcentral is "partial 16S ribosomal RNA". It matches the Rfam family "Bacterial small subunit ribosomal RNA", at positions 793 to 1055 of the family's 1533-position model. The record is from RNAcentral.